CCUACGGGAGGCAGCAGUGGGGAAUAUUGGACAAUGGGGGCAACCCUGAUCCAGCCAUGCCGCGUGUGUGAAGAAGGCCCUCGGGUUGUAAAGCACUUUUAGUGAGGAAGAACGCCUGGUGGUUAAUACCCAUCAGGAAAGACAUCACUCACAGAAGAAGCACCGGCUAACUCCGUGCCAGCAGCCGCGGUAAUACGGAGGGUGCGAGCGUUAAUCGGAAUUACUGGGCGUAAAGCGCGCGUAGGUGGCUUGAUAAGCCGGUUGUGAAAGCCCCGGGCUCAACCUGGGAACGGCAUCCGGAACUGUCAAGCUAGAGUGCAGGAGAGGAAGGUAGAAUUCCCGGUGUAGCGGUGAAAUGCGUAGAGAUCGGGAGGAAUACCAGUGGCGAAGGCGGCCUUCUGGACUGACACUGACACUGAGGUGCGAAAGCGUGGGUAGCAAACAGGAUUAGAUACCCUAGUAGUC
Molecule: ribosomal RNA, 465 nt
Filed under: Vreelandella stevensii
Lineage: Bacteria; Pseudomonadati; Pseudomonadota; Gammaproteobacteria; Oceanospirillales; Halomonadaceae
Description: partial 16S ribosomal RNA
Rfam family: Bacterial small subunit ribosomal RNA
Source: RNAcentral